ACCAUCUUUGUCUUGGGGUGAGCGGCCGCCCAAUGAGCGCAUAGCGAGAGCGGCACUGCUGACACAAGUAACAACACAAUAGUGCCCCCGGUGUGCAAACACUGGCACGGUACAAUUUUUGGAACC
This is a small nuclear RNA of Xenopus tropicalis (tropical clawed frog), 126 nucleotides long. NCBI's taxonomy places the organism in Eukaryota, Metazoa, Chordata, Amphibia, Anura, Pipidae. The record is from Ensembl.